Molecule: ribosomal RNA, 394 nt
Filed under: uncultured bacterium
Lineage: Bacteria
Description: bacterial SSU rRNA
Rfam family: Bacterial small subunit ribosomal RNA
Source: RNAcentral
UGGCGGCAGGCCUAACACAUGCAAGUCGAGCGGCAGCGCGGGGGCAACCCUGGCGGCGAGCGGCGGACGGGUGAGGAACACAUCGGAAUCUACCUUGUCGUGGGGGAUAACGUAGGGAAACUUACGCUAAUACCGCAUACGACCUACGGGUGAAAGCGGCGGACCGCAAGGCGUCGCGCGAUUGGAUGAGCCGAUGUCCGAUUAGCUAGUUGGCGGGGUAAAGGCCCACCAAGGCGACGAUCGGUAGCUGGUCUGAGAGGACGACCAGCCACACUGGAACUGAGACACGGUCCAGACUCCUACGGGAGGCAGCAGUGGGGAAUAUUGGACAAUGGGNGCAAGCCUGAUCCAGCCAUGCCGCGUGGGUGAAGAAGGCCUUCGGGUUGUAAAGCCC